Molecule: ribosomal RNA, 254 nt
Filed under: uncultured Anaerococcus sp.
Lineage: Bacteria; Bacillati; Bacillota; Tissierellia; Tissierellales; Peptoniphilaceae
Description: partial 16S ribosomal RNA
Rfam family: Bacterial small subunit ribosomal RNA
Source: RNAcentral
ACGGGUGAGUAACGCGUGAGUAACCUGCCUUACACAAGGGGAUAGCCGUUGGAAACGACGAAUAAUACCCUAUGACAUAAACUCCUCGCAUGAGGAGCUUAUCAAAGAUUUAUCGGUGUAAGAUGGACUCGCGUCUGAUUAGCUAGUUGGUGAGGUAACGGCCCACCAAGGCGACGAUCAGUAGCCGGCCUGAGAGAGUGUACGGCCACAUUGGGACUGAGACACGGCCCAGACUCCUACGGGAGGCAGCAGCA